AUUACUCAACCCCGGACCCUCCCAGAGAGCCACAGCGAAGGGUUUUCUCACCUUUCCUCCCUGUUCCCAUAUCCAACAAGCAUGAACCAGAAAGGGCCUGAGUCACCAGGUCAUGUGACUGAAAGUGCACACGGGGCCUCUCCACACUUGGCACGGCCAGAUGAAACCCAAAUCGCCGUGCCCUGCAAGCUAAGAGCACCAAGCAGUUGCAGGUUUGUCUCAGGAAACAUCCCGGGGCUGCCGUCCAGCCAUUCAAGCUUUUGAGAAACUUCUUACUUAGAAAUGAUUCAUUCCGAGGCACAAUGGCCUGGCCAUAAGACGGGUUCAGUUGGCCACGUUGUUCACAUUGGGGGUCUGCUGGACACUGCAGCUCCAGGAUUGCUGAGGGGAGGCCUCAGCGCCACUCCCUGCUGUAGACGCCAAUCACUGUUCUCCACAGAAGAGGAUGUUUGCAAUGGCUCCUCCCCUGCUCUCUGGCUGCUGUUCAGGAAAGGAAGCCCAAGCCCAGAGAGAUGGAGCGAUUCGCCCAGGGUCACACAUCUGGUCCGUGCCCUUCACCUAGGAGUGGACCAGCACACAUCCAAGAUAUGUCUGGAAUGCCUAUUCUGCACCAGGCUUUGUGCUAGGAACUAGGUUUUCUCCCAUCCGUCUUUCAGAAUCAUACGUUUUAUAAUGUAGAAAUGUAUGGUCACUUUCAAUCAGGUUGCUAAAUUUAAAUUUUCGAAUACGUAUUCCCUGAAAGUGAUUAUCACAUCAAGGGCUGUGUUUUUCAAUCUGGUGAUUUGAUUUCUCCACCACCUGCCAGAAAGGGCCGUUUCUCCUAAGGGAGCUUCAGAACUUCCUCCGCAUCGCUUCCACGCUGUCUCCUUCAAAGAAGAUAAACACAGAAAAUGUUGGGCUGCACUGCAGCAUUCUGUAUUGAAAAACUUCGGUUAAGUUGUUCAAAGAAAACUGUGGAGCUUGGUCAAGAGCUUGGUAUCAUUUUCUUGAGGCUAAUUGCUAAAUAUCACUUUUCUGAUGUCCUUGAAGUCCCUGAAUCAGCUGAGAAAAGAAUUGUCAGUAUUCGUAUGACCUAAAUAAUUUUGAAAUCUGCCCUGGAUAUUAGGCCACUGGUACUUAUUACUGUAAGAAACUACACUCUCAGAAAGUGGAAGAGUUCAUUUAAAUAAUGGAGUUGAAAAUAAAGUGAAAAAAGUAAUAGAGGUGGGGAGGGAGGUACUCAGGUAGCAGUUUAGUGAAUACUAACGGCUGACCAAAGGGACUCACACCCAAAUUUACAGAUGCUGAAAUCUAACUCCUUGAACAUCUGCUCAGGAACCCACACAGGCC
Molecule: long non-coding RNA, 1329 nt
Filed under: Equus caballus (horse)
Lineage: Eukaryota; Metazoa; Chordata; Mammalia; Perissodactyla; Equidae
Description: lncRNA (ENSECAG00000054950.1)
Source: RNAcentral